This 1537-nucleotide long non-coding RNA is filed under the name Equus caballus (horse). RNAcentral describes it as "lncRNA (ENSECAG00000056320.1)". The record is from RNAcentral. Lineage: Eukaryota; Metazoa; Chordata; Mammalia; Perissodactyla; Equidae.
GAAACCGGAACCACAUACACGCGAGUAACACAGUUCAGGCCCUGAGCCCCGCAGAGGAAGCUCCCUGUGCAGCCGCCGCGAGCUGUGCUGUCACCACACCGGGCGCUGGGAAAGCGCGGCAGACGCGCUGCCACCCGUGCAGGCGGUGACUGGGGCGGGUGGGCCCUGCGGAGGCGCCGAGAGCUACGUCGGCGAGGAAUUCCUGCUCUUCGACUCUUCUUUUUUGUUGCUCUUAUACUAAUUGAGAAAUUACUUAAAUUCAACUUGGUAUCCACUAAGAGCUUGACACAACUUAAAAUUUCCAUGUAUUUUAUUCAGGAACCGAUAGCCAAUCAGAGCAGUGAGCCUAGCGCCGCGUGCCGGACGCCGGGCGGAGGCUUGACUGAUUGGCCUUCGAUGACAUUCACAGUCCCACGGGGAAGGACCGGAACUACCUUAUGUUAGAGGCAAGGAAACAGGUUUGAGAGGCUAAUAACAAGCUCAUGCGUCUUGUAAGUCAUAGGACCCAGCGCCGACCGCGCCCGUCCACCUGCCCAGCGCGCUGGGCGGGCCGCCCCUGAGCCGGCGAAGGUGCACGCUGCGCCCGCGCUCCCGGGGGACUCCAGCCGCGGACAUCCUUCCCACGCAACACGUUCAUGGAGGAUCUACAGUGUGCAAACCCGUGGGUCAACGCCCAGUGUUUGUUAAACUGAACGGGGCUGCGCUGCAGUUCAGAAAGCGGAAGUCGGCUGAGCAAGGAGCCCCGCCCUCCGGCACGAGCCCUGCCCCCAAAGAAGAGGGCGAGAGAAUGAGCGGCCGCCACUCGAGGUCAAGGCUGAAAUGCGGGGAAUGCUAACUGCAUAGGCUGUGAGAGUCUGGCAAAGGGGGAAAUUAAGCCUGCUCCGCGGGCUGCUCUCUCUGAGACCGUGGCAAGCACGACGGUGUCCUAUUGAAAACAGUGUGGAAAGCUGCCUAAAUGUUUACUAACAGAGGACAAUUAGAUAAAUUAUGUACUCACACCAUGUAAUAUUAAACUGCGAUUUGAAAUUCUGCCACAGCAGAAAAAGGGCUGUUGGUGAGGAAAGAUGUGCACCGUCCAAAAGUGAAAACCAGAACAAAAUAAAGUGAAAGUAUCAGGUUGUGUCGACGAGUUUCCCUCCAAAAUUGGGUGGGCCGCAUCCAAUCAGUUGAAGGCCUUAAGAGAAAAGAGCGAAGUCCUUGGAGGAAGAGGGAAUUCUGCCUCUGGACGGCGACGUCGAAGUUCUGCUGGGGCUUCCAGCCUGCCCCGUAGACUCUGGACUGAAGAUCGCAGCAUCAGCUGUCACCUGAAUGUCCCCACUGCUGGCCUGGCUGUGGGGUGUAGACUUGCCAGCCCCACAAAGGAAGGACCCUUACUAAAGCAGCAGCGUGAAGGACCCAUGGGGAUCCUCUUUACCAGACCUUUCUUUAAAGACGAGGAAAGGCACGUGAGGAAGGAGUUGGGUAUUUUCACAGCAUUUGCUCUUUCCCUCCGUGUGUAGGAUCUAAUAUAUCCUCACAGCGGCCUCGGACCCGGGAG